AGAGCGAACGCUGGCGGCAGGCCUAACACAUGCAAGUCGAACGCGUGUAGCAAUACACGAGUGGCGCACGGGUGAGUAACGCGUGGAUAUCUGCCUUUUGGUUCGGAAUAACCCCGGGAAACUGGGGCUAAUACCGGAUGGUUCCUACGGGAUAAAGAUUUAUCGCCAAAAGAUGAGUCCGCGUACGAUUAGCUAGUUGGUGAGGUAAUGGCUCACCAAGGCGACGAUCGUUAGCUGGUCUGAGAGGACGAUCAGCCACACUUGGACUGAGACACGGCCCAGACUCCUACGGGAGGCAGCAGUGGGGAUAUUGGACAAUGGGGGCAACCCUGAUCCAGCCAUGCCGCGUGAGUGAUGAAGGCCUUCGGGUUGUAAAGCUCGUUUUGGCGGGGACGAUGAUGACGGUACCCGCAGAAUAAGCCCCGGCUAACUUCGCGCCAGCAGCCGC
RNAcentral lists this ribosomal RNA (448 nucleotides) under uncultured bacterium. Its description in RNAcentral is "SSU rRNA". It matches the Rfam family "Bacterial small subunit ribosomal RNA", at positions 26 to 518 of the family's 1533-position model. The record is from RNAcentral.